AAGUCGUAACAAGGUUUCUAUAGGUGAACCUGUGGAAGGAUCAUUAUCGUGAGGCUUCAGCCUUAUUGAGAUAGAACCCUUGCCUUUAUAGUACCUUCUGUUGCCUCGGCAAUGCGUAAUAGCACAGCCAAUGGGGCCAAAAAUAAACCUUUGUAUUAUAGUUAUAGUCUGAAAACAAACAAAAUUAAAA
This 190-nucleotide unclassified non-coding RNA is filed under the name plant metagenome. Its description in RNAcentral is "partial contains small subunit ribosomal RNA and internal transcribed spacer 1". The stretch from base 1 to 46 matches the Rfam family "Eukaryotic small subunit ribosomal RNA", at positions 1786 to 1831 of the family's 1831-position model. The record is from RNAcentral.